This 26-nucleotide non-coding RNA is filed under the name Arabidopsis thaliana (thale cress). RNAcentral also lists the same sequence under 9 other names. Lineage: Eukaryota; Viridiplantae; Streptophyta; Magnoliopsida; Brassicales; Brassicaceae. The record is from RNAcentral.
CCACCAGGAGUGGAGCCUGCGGCUUA